UUGUUCUUCUAUCACCGUUCGCAUUUGAAAGUGGUAAUGUCAUAAAUUAUGAGAUGAGUCGUUGAAUAAUUGAGAUUACUGUGUCAAAAAUGGGCCAUUCCUUCACGCACCACCGAGAGAAUAGCACAGUCUGAAUAUUUACUUUGCAACUGUCAUUAUCAAUAAUUCAACGUAAAACACAACCAUAGUUUGGCUGCUGGAAUUGUUCGUAUCGAUCGAAAGUGAUUUGAAAUGUCUCGCCAGUCUCGUCGAUCGAAUGUUGGGCAGCGUUUGACAGUGGCAUCGUUGCUCGAUGAAGACGAGAAAAAUGACUAUGAAAAUAAGCAGCCAAACGAUGAAUUCUUGAUCAGAUUGGUCAUCGAACGAAAUUCGGCACGUAAACAAUACAAGGAUUUCCAGGAAAUGAACGCCAAAAUGUUAGAAAAACUUCGGGCUAAAUCAAUUGAACUGACCAAAAAGAUUGCUGAACGCCGAAAUCAACUUGAACGAGGUUCACAAUAGUUUCUGCUCAAACAAUUUCUCUUUUUUUUUGUCAUUUUUUUCUUCUAUGGAAACGAAAACAUAUCGAAUAAAAAACCAAAUUCGAAUUUAAA
Long non-coding RNA from Sitodiplosis mosellana (orange wheat blossom midge), 593 nucleotides. RefSeq lists it as uncharacterized. The record is from RefSeq and is a predicted model, not a curated record. The transcript is spliced from 2 exons. NCBI's taxonomy places the organism in Eukaryota, Metazoa, Arthropoda, Insecta, Diptera, Cecidomyiidae.